Non-coding RNA from Notechis scutatus (mainland tiger snake), 135 nucleotides. The record is from RefSeq and is a predicted model, not a curated record. Lineage: Eukaryota; Metazoa; Chordata; Lepidosauria; Squamata; Elapidae.
UACAUCUUUGGUUUUGGCAGUUUUGCCCUGGGUUCUAACUCUAUGGCACAAUCAGUGGCUCGAUGGAGAGGUAAAACAUUGUAUUCCUCUUCACUGAACACUUCAGCCAAGUCUCUAUAUUGGUAAUGUAUCCAG